Molecule: long non-coding RNA, 402 nt
Filed under: Oryza brachyantha (malo sina)
Lineage: Eukaryota; Viridiplantae; Streptophyta; Magnoliopsida; Poales; Poaceae
Description: long non-coding RNA (OBRA_LNC002896)
Source: RNAcentral
UCCUCCGCCCUCUUCUCUAAAAGCAAAUUAAGCAUGUGGGACCAAACAUGUCAUUGAGACUGAACGGUGGGAAGUAACGCGUCAGUAAGACUGCUUUUCAGGACAGUUCUUCCUCCUCACGUCCCCUCAGCUGCAAACUAGAAAAAAAUAUUAAAAUUUUGCUACUCUUAUGGGUGAGUGGAAAUACAUUCGACACUCUCCUCUCAUAAGUGUGGUGACAGAGAUUAAACCGUCUUGUUAAAGAGCGGCAAAAAGCUAAAAGCCCUGGAAACGGAAGAUGAUAAACAGUAGGGGACUGCAGAGGAGGCGGCAUCAGGCGACCGGGAUAUGCACACGAAUUCUUCUGGAGAGGAUCGGAUCAUCGGAGCGGCGACGGAUUUCAUGGUUCCUGUCUUUCUGGCG